UUGAUCCUACGGGGCGCAGCAGUAGGGAAUCUUCCACAAUGGGCGAAAGCCUGAUGGAGCAACGCCGCGUGGGUGAAGAAGGUCUUCGGAUCGUAAAACCCUGUUGUUAGAGAAGAAAGUGCGUGAGAGUAACUGUUCAUGUUUCGACGGUAUCUAACCAGAAAGCCACGGUUAACUACGUGCCAGCAGCCGCGGUAAUACGUAGGUGGCAAGCGUUAUCCGGAUUUAUUGGGCGUAAAGGGAACGCAGGCGGUCUUUUCUGUCUGAUGUGACAGCCUUUGGCUUAACCG
This 290-nucleotide ribosomal RNA is filed under the name uncultured bacterium. RNAcentral describes it as "partial 16S ribosomal RNA". It matches the Rfam family "Bacterial small subunit ribosomal RNA", at positions 333 to 615 of the family's 1533-position model. The record is from RNAcentral.